RNAcentral lists this ribosomal RNA (451 nucleotides) under uncultured bacterium. RNAcentral's name for it is "partial 16S ribosomal RNA". It matches the Rfam family "Bacterial small subunit ribosomal RNA", at positions 354 to 796 of the family's 1533-position model. The record is from RNAcentral.
GUGGGGAAUAUUGGACAAUGGGCGAAAGCCUGAUCCAGCCAUGCCGCGUGUGUGAAGAAGGCCUUUUGGUUGUAAAGCACUUUAAGCGAGGAGGAGGCUACCGAGAUUAAUACUCUUGGAUAGUGGACGUUACUCGCAGAAUAAGCACCGGCUAACUCUGUGCCAGCAGCCGCGGUAAUACAGAGGGUGCAAGCGUUAAUCGGAUUUACUGGGCGUAAAGCGCGCGUAGGUGGCCAAUUAAGUCAAAUGUGAAAUCCCCGAGCUUAACUUGGGAAUUGCAGUCGAUACUGGUUGGCUAGAGUAUGGGAGAGGAUGGUAGAAUUCCAGGUGUAGCGGUGAAGUGCGUAGAGAUCUGGAGGAAUACCGAUGGCGAAGGCAGCCAUCUGGCCUAAUACUGACACUGAGGUGCGAAAGCAUGGGGAGCAAACAGGAUUAGAAACCCGUGUAGUCC